This 375-nucleotide long non-coding RNA is filed under the name Phasianus colchicus (ring-necked pheasant). RNAcentral's name for it is "lncRNA (ENSPCLG00000007791.1)". The record is from RNAcentral. Lineage: Eukaryota; Metazoa; Chordata; Aves; Galliformes; Phasianidae.
GUGUAAAAGUUAUGUUUCAUUUUGUUAUAAAUGCUAGAUGACAGAAAGGAUACUUUCAUUUCACCACUGGCACCUGACUGCUGUUACUAUUCCCAGUCGCACAGAGAAGAACUGUACCUCAGUGCUGAAAGGUCAUCUUUAAAAUAUUGGCCGUGGCACAGGGAAUACACUUGUAGCAGGACGUAUAAAUUUCACUAUACUUGCCAUAUGAUGGGUGAAGAAACUGAGGCACAGGAAGAAAGAUGAAUUAUUCAAUGAUGCCCACUUCUUUGGAUAAGCCCUUAACAAGUGGCUUUAGUACAACUUCGAGUUGUUCAGCACUUUUGGAACAAAAGGCCAUACCUAAAUGCAGAUUUAAGAAACUACUGUAUGCAU